This 990-nucleotide ribosomal RNA is filed under the name uncultured bacterium. Its description in RNAcentral is "bacterial SSU rRNA". It matches the Rfam family "Bacterial small subunit ribosomal RNA", at positions 9 to 977 of the family's 1533-position model. The record is from RNAcentral.
GAGUUUGNUCCUGGCUCAGGAUGAACGCUGGCGGCGUGCCUAACACAUGCAAGUCGAGCGUGAAGGUUAUGACAGAUUCUUCGGAUGAUGGAUUGACUGGAAAGCGGCGGACGGGUGAGUAACGCGUGGGUAACCUGCCCUACACACAGGGAUAGCCAUUGGAAACGAUGAUUAAUACCUGAUAACACAAAGACAACGCAUGUUGUUUUUGUCAAAGAUUUAUCGGUGUAGGAUGGACCCGCGUCUGAUUAGCUAGUUGGUAAGGUAACGGCUUACCAAGGCGACGAUCAGUAGCCGACCUGAGAGGGUGAUCGGCCACACUGGAACUGAGACACGGUCCAGACUCCUACGGGAGGCAGCAGUGGGGAAUAUUGCACAAUGGGCGCAAGCCUGAUGCAGCAACGCCGCGUGAACGAAGAAGGUCUUCGGAUCGUAAAGUUCUUUUCUUAGGGAAGGAAAAUGACGGUACCUAAGGAAUAAGCACCGGCUAAAUACGUGCCAGCAGCCGCGGUAAUACGUAUGGUGCAAGCGUUAUCCGGAAUCACUGGGCGUAAAGGGUACGUAGGCGGUUUUGCAAGUCAGAAGUGAAAGGCUACAGCUCAACUGUAGUAAGCUUUUGAAACUGCAAGACUAGAGUGCAGGAGAGGCAAGUGGAAUUUCCUAGUGUAGAGGUGAAAUUCGUAGAUAUUAGGAGGAACACCAGUGGCGAANGCGACUUGCUGGACUGUAACUGACGCUGAAGGUACGAAAGCGUGGGGAGCGAACAGGAUUAGAUACCCUGGGUAGUCCACGCCCGUAACGAUGANUACUAGGUGGUCGGGGGGUCGAAUCCUCGGGUGCCGCCAGUUAACACAUUAAAGAAUUCCCNCCUGGGGGAAGUACNGUCGCAAGACUNGAAAACUUCAAAGGAAUUUGGACGGGGGACCCCGCACAAACCAGCGGAACAUUGUGGGUUUUAUUUCGAAGCAACGCGGAANAAANCCUUUCNCA